RNAcentral lists this ribosomal RNA (465 nucleotides) under Vreelandella stevensii. RNAcentral's name for it is "partial 16S ribosomal RNA". It matches the Rfam family "Bacterial small subunit ribosomal RNA", at positions 338 to 795 of the family's 1533-position model. The record is from RNAcentral. Lineage: Bacteria; Pseudomonadati; Pseudomonadota; Gammaproteobacteria; Oceanospirillales; Halomonadaceae.
CCUACGGGUGGCAGCAGUGGGGAAUAUUGGACAAUGGGGGCAACCCUGAUCCAGCCAUGCCGCGUGUGUGAAGAAGGCCCUCGGGUUGUAAAGCACUUUCAGUGAGGAAGAACGCCUGGUGGUUAAUACCCAUCAGGAAAGACAUCACUCACAGAAGAAGCACCGGCUAACUCCGUGCCAGCAGCCGCGGUAAUACGGAGGGUGCGAGCGUUAAUCGGAAUUACUGGGCGUAAAGCGCGCGUAGGUGGCUUGAUAAGCCGGUUGUGAAAGCCCCGGGCUCAACCUGGGAACGGCAUCCGGAACUGUCAAGCUAGAGUGCAGGAGAGGAAGGUAGAAUUCCCGGUGUAGCGGUGAAAUGCGUAGAGAUCGGGAGGAAUACCAGUGGCGAAGGCGGCAUUCUGGACUGACACUGACACUGAGGUGCGAAAGCGUGGGUAGCAAACAGGAUUAGAUACCCCAGUAGUC